Long non-coding RNA from Helicoverpa zea (corn earworm), 781 nucleotides. RefSeq lists it as uncharacterized. NCBI's taxonomy places the organism in Eukaryota, Metazoa, Arthropoda, Insecta, Lepidoptera, Noctuidae. The record is from RefSeq and is a predicted model, not a curated record. The transcript is spliced from 2 exons.
UGGCCAUACGGGAGAGAUGACCAAUCGAAUUAUUUUUGGCAUGCAUAGCUAGAUGGCUCUACAAUGCAGUCAGUACACCGCAAGCCACGCUCAGGAACACAGUGCGACGACGCUGCUGCGCGUAUUUAUGUUAAAAAAAGCCAAAUAAGUAUCAGAGAAAAGCCAUAGCCACUCGUGGUUGUUGGAGUGAAGAUUCACUAAAAAAAAUGGUUAAACCCAAAAAUAAGAAGACUGAUACAAAUAUGAAUAGAAAACGGAAAGCUGUAAGGCGUAUUAGCGAAAGCAGUUCUGAUCUCAGUGAAUCAGAAUUGUGUGAUACAUCUGACGAAGAACAUAAAGAAAACGAAGCAGAUAACUGCGCUGGAAUCGGAGAAAAUUAUUAUAAGACUCGUAUUCUGGAAGAGUGGCUCCAGUGUCUUAUUUGUGACUCAUCAAACUUCAGUCACAUCAAACGGUACAGUUUUCAUGUACCCACCGUACAUGAAAACUGUACCGAGUUUGAUGAUAUAUGCUCCAAAUGUGAACAGAAGAAGAAAAAAGAAGCUAAACAAGCCGAAUUUCAGAGCAAGGGAAAGGGUAAAGGGAAGUCAAGUACUGGUCAUCUAUCCCGUAUAGCUAUGGCCAACUUACCCUGAAGCCUCGGGAGAGAUGGCCAAUUCUAUUUUUAUUUUUAAAUUGUUUUUUAAUAUGUUUUUGAACUAUAAAAAAAUAUUUGUCAUUGAUUUUUACAAGACUAAUUACUGUUAAUUAUGAUAAGAAUAAAAGACUGAUUGUAACCACA